RNAcentral lists this long non-coding RNA (900 nucleotides) under Piliocolobus tephrosceles (Ugandan red Colobus). RNAcentral describes it as "lncRNA (ENSPTEG00000002517.1)". Lineage: Eukaryota; Metazoa; Chordata; Mammalia; Primates; Cercopithecidae. The record is from RNAcentral.
UAACAUUGAGUAUGUUUUUUAUUUUUAAAUUUGUACUAACUUAAAUGUAUACAUAAAUGGGUAUUCGUAUAUUUACAUAUGUUAAUUUGUUUCUUUUUUUACAACAUAUUAUAUUAAGUUUAUAGUCUUAAUUGUUUGUAGUUUAAACAUACCAUAUAAAUCAGUUUGUAUUUAUUUUUUUUAUUUUUUUCAUAUUGAAGGAUUACAAAAGUUACAAGACAAUUUUAUGUGUAAAAAGGAAUAAUAUUAUUAAAUAUAUAAUUUUGACGUUAACUGAUACUAAUUUUUACUUGUGGCUGGAAAAUGAACAGCAUCCCUUUUACGUUUCUCCAGCAAGCAAUGAUUUAUAUUCUUGCUGUGAAUUUAGUCAAACAAGAAUAGGGGUUAUAUAUAUUGGAAAAAAAAAUGGACAUAUAGAAAUAUGGAAUUUGUUGGAACAUAAAGACCAUUGCAUAUAUUCAAUAUCCAUAAGUAGUUAUAGUUUAACAUGUAUCAGCAUUUCUAAUUAUUUAGAUAAUACAUUAAUUAAUAUGAAUGAAAAAAAAAUGAUAAGUUUUGUAGAUAAUAAUAAAUAUAAUGAUCUUGAAAAUUGGGAUGAAAUUGUAGACACCAAUGAAGAGUUGAUAAACAAAGAUGAAGAUGAUGUUUAUAAAUAUUCUUAUAAUAAAAUAAUAAUUGGCGAUUCCAGUGGCUGCGUUUUUGUUUAUCAAAUUGAAGAAAGCUUUUUAAAUCCAACUAAAAAAGAAAUUGAUGAAUUUUUAUUAUGGACCGAUAACAUGAUACGUGUAAAUAAACAAAUUAAAGAAAGACAACUGCAGUUAAGCGAAGUAAGUUUUAUUUAUUUAUUUUUUUUUUUUUUAGUGUGUCUUUUUUUUUAACCUGUAUGAUUUCCUAAUUGUG